Molecule: ribosomal RNA, 2902 nt
Filed under: Escherichia coli
Lineage: Bacteria; Pseudomonadati; Pseudomonadota; Gammaproteobacteria; Enterobacterales; Enterobacteriaceae
Description: 23S ribosomal RNA
Rfam family: Bacterial large subunit ribosomal RNA
Source: RNAcentral
UUAAGCGACUAAGCGUACACGGUGGAUGCCCUGGCAGUCAGAGGCGAUGAAGGACGUGCUAAUCUGCGAUAAGCGUCGGUAAGGUGAUAUGAACCGUUAUAACCGGCGAUUUCCGAAUGGGGAAACCCAGUGUGUUUCGACACACUAUCAUUAACUGAAUCCAUAGGUUAAUGAGGCGAACCGGGGGAACUGAAACAUCUAAGUACCCCGAGGAAAAGAAAUCAACCGAGAUUCCCCCAGUAGCGGCGAGCGAACGGGGAGCAGCCCAGAGUCUGAAUCAGUGUGUGUGUUAGUGGAAGCGUCUGGAAAGGCGCGCGAUACAGGGUGACAGCCCCGUACACAAAAAUGCACAUACUGUGAGCUCGAUGAGUAGGGCGGGACACGUGGUAUCCUGUCUGAAUAUGGGGGGACCAUCCUCCAAGGCUAAAUACUCCUGACUGACCGAUAGUGAACCAGUACCGUGAGGGAAAGGCGAAAAGAACCCCGGCGAGGGGAGUGAAAAAGAACCUGAAACCGUGUACGUACAAGCAGUGGGAGCACGCUUAGGCGUGUGACUGCGUACCUUUUGUAUAAUGGGUCAGCGACUUAUAUUCUGUAGCAAGGUUAACCGAAUAGGGGAGCCGAAGGGAAACCGAGUCUUAACUGGGCGUUAAGUUGCAGGGUAUAGACCCGAAACCCGGUGAUCUAGCCAUGGGCAGGUUGAAGGUUGGGUAACACUAACUGGAGGACCGAACCGACUAAUGUUGAAAAAUUAGCGGAUGACUUGUGGCUGGGGGUGAAAGGCCAAUCAAACCGGGAGAUAGCUGGUUCUCCCCGAAAGCUAUUUAGGUAGCGCCUCGUGAAUUCAUCUCCGGGGGUAGAGCACUGUUUCGGCAAGGGGGUCAUCCCGACUUACCAACCCGAUGCAAACUGCGAAUACCGGAGAAUGUUAUCACGGGAGACACACGGCGGGUGCUAACGUCCGUCGUGAAGAGGGAAACAACCCAGACCGCCAGCUAAGGUCCCAAAGUCAUGGUUAAGUGGGAAACGAUGUGGGAAGGCCCAGACAGCCAGGAUGUUGGCUUAGAAGCAGCCAUCAUUUAAAGAAAGCGUAAUAGCUCACUGGUCGAGUCGGCCUGCGCGGAAGAUGUAACGGGGCUAAACCAUGCACCGAAGCUGCGGCAGCGACGCUUAUGCGUUGUUGGGUAGGGGAGCGUUCUGUAAGCCUGUGAAGGUGUGCUGUGAGGCAUGCUGGAGGUAUCAGAAGUGCGAAUGCUGACAUAAGUAACGAUAAAGCGGGUGAAAAGCCCGCUCGCCGGAAGACCAAGGGUUCCUGUCCAACGUUAAUCGGGGCAGGGUGAGUCGACCCCUAAGGCGAGGCCGAAAGGCGUAGUCGAUGGGAAACAGGUUAAUAUUCCUGUACUUGGUGUUACUGCGAAGGGGGGACGGAGAAGGCUAUGUUGGCCGGGCGACGGUUGUCCCGGUUUAAGCGUGUAGGCUGGUUUUCCAGGCAAAUCCGGAAAAUCAAGGCUGAGGCGUGAUGACGAGGCACUACGGUGCUGAAGCAACAAAUGCCCUGCUUCCAGGAAAAGCCUCUAAGCAUCAGGUAACAUCAAAUCGUACCCCAAACCGACACAGGUGGUCAGGUAGAGAAUACCAAGGCGCUUGAGAGAACUCGGGUGAAGGAACUAGGCAAAAUGGUGCCGUAACUUCGGGAGAAGGCACGCUGAUAUGUAGGUGAAGUCCCUUGCGGAUGGAGCUGAAAUCAGUCGAAGAUACCAGCUGGCUGCAACUGUUUAUUAAAAACACAGCACUGUGCAAACACGAAAGUGGACGUAUACGGUGUGACGCCUGCCCGGUGCCGGAAGGUUAAUUGAUGGGGUCAGCGCAAGCGAAGCUCUUGAUCGAAGCCCCGGUAAACGGCGGCCGUAACUAUAACGGUCCUAAGGUAGCGAAAUUCCUUGUCGGGUAAGUUCCGACCUGCACGAAUGGCGUAAUGAUGGCCAGGCUGUCUCCACCCGAGACUCAGUGAAAUUGAACUCGCUGUGAAGAUGCAGUGUACCCGCGGCAAGACGGAAAGACCCCGUGAACCUUUACUAUAGCUUGACACUGAACAUUGAGCCUUGAUGUGUAGGAUAGGUGGGAGGCUUUGAAGUGUGGACGCCAGUCUGCAUGGAGCCGACCUUGAAAUACCACCCUUUAAUGUUUGAUGUUCUAACGUUGGCCCCUAAUCGGGGUUGCGGACAGUGUCUGGUGGGUAGUUUGACUGGGGCGGUCUCCUCCUAAAGAGUAACGGAGGAGCACGAAGGUUGGCUAAUCCUGGUCGGACAUCAGGAGGUUAGUGCAAUGGCAUAAGCCAGCUUGACUGCGAGCGUGACGGCGCGAGCAGGUGCGAAAGCAGGUCAUAGUGAUCCGGUGGUUCUGAAUGGAAGGGCCAUCGCUCAACGGAUAAAAGGUACUCCGGGGAUAACAGGCUGAUACCGCCCAAGAGUUCAUAUCGACGGCGGUGUUUGGCACCUCGAUGUCGGCUCAUCACAUCCUGGGGCUGAAGUAGGUCCCAAGGGUAUGGCUGUUCGCCAUUUAAAGUGGUACGCGAGCUGGGUUUAGAACGUCGUGAGACAGUUCGGUCCCUAUCUGCCGUGGGCGCUGGAGAACUGAGGGGGGCUGCUCCUAGUACGAGAGGACCGGAGUGGACGCAUCACUGGUGUUCGGGUUGUCAUGCCAAUGGCACUGCCCGGUAGCUAAAUGCGGAAGAGAUAAGUGCUGAAAGCAUCUAAGCACGAAACUUGCCCCGAGAUGAGUUCUCCCUGACUCCUUGAGAGUCCUGAAGGAACGUUGAAGACGACGACGUUGAUAGGCCGGGUGUGUAAGCGCAGCGAUGCGUUGAGCUAACCGGUACUAAUGAACCGUGAGGCUUAACCUU